Molecule: ribosomal RNA, 397 nt
Filed under: Chlorarachniophyceae sp.
Lineage: Eukaryota; Cercozoa; Chlorarachniophyceae
Description: partial small subunit ribosomal RNA
Rfam family: Eukaryotic small subunit ribosomal RNA
Source: RNAcentral
AUUCCAGCUCCAAUAGCGUAUAUUAAAGUUGUUGCAGUUAAAAAGCUCGUAGUUGGAUUUCAGUCUUAAUUCGCCUGGCCCGCUCCCUUGAGGAGCCGAGUGCCGGUUGCGAAUUGGACUUCCUUCUAGCAUGAAUCUCCUACCGUUAUGCGGCCGGGAAGGACAUCUGGAUCAUUUACUUUGAAGAAAUUAGAGUGUUCAAAGCGAGCUUACGCUGUGAAUAUAUUAGCAUGGAAUAAUAACAUAGGACUCGGGUUCUAUUUUGUUGGUUUCUAGGACUCAAGUAAUGAUUGAUAGGGACAGUUGGGGGUGCUGUUAUUAUAUGGCCAGAGGUGAAAUUCACGGAUUCAUAUAAGAGCAACUUAUGCGAAAGCAUUCACCAAGGAUGUCUUCAUCA